CACGUAGUUGGCCGGUGCUUCUUCUAUAGGUACCGUCACUUGCGCUUCGUCCCUACUGAAAGAGGUUUACAACCCGAAGGCCGUCAUCCCUCACGCGGCGUCGCUGCAUCAGGCUUGCGCCCAUUGUGCAAUAUUCCCCA
Molecule: ribosomal RNA, 140 nt
Filed under: uncultured bacterium
Lineage: Bacteria
Description: partial 16S ribosomal RNA
Source: RNAcentral